AUUACCUCACAGAGUUGGAAUGCCUGGCAGGGAGAAUGUCAGCAAUGAACAGCUGCUUCACUGGCUGCGGGCUGCUACAGAAAUAGGGGCUACAACAAAUAGCAGGCAAUCCUUGCUUUUUUUAAUCAUAUGAUCAUUUAUUUUAAGCUUUUCCAAUUAAGGCACAUCUCUUACACACACACAAUAUAUAUAUAUAUAUCUGUUGAGCUUAUUAUUUUUAUUAUUAUUAUUUUUACACAGCUCUUGGAAGCAUUUUCAGGGUUUAAUUCAUACGUGCCACACUAAGUGACCUAUGCACAUACAUUAAUGCCUGCAGCUAAAAGCAGAAGUCCUUGCAAGGUUUCAGCUGUUGGUAAUAUACACAGCAAGAAAAUGCAGGCUUAAAGGCUGAUCCUUCAGUUCUUCCUCUCACAUCAAAACUCCCAAAGGCUCCAGUAGAAGGUAUGUCUUUAAUAACAACCAUCUUAUCGAGCAUUAAAGUAAUAUUUAUAGUUUAAUGAAUUCAAUCCUCAUAUAGGAGGCAAUAUCCCCUUCCCACAAAUACUCAAAAAAUAAUACAAAUAUACAAAAAAUAAACAAUUGUUGUAUGCUAUGUAGAAUGUCAUUCUCCACAUUACAUGAGCCAGGUAAAAGCAUAUACAAACUUGAAACAGGUGAGGGAUGAGGAAGAAGAUAAAGCAAACAUGCUACUGUCUGAGCAAGUCUAACUUGCAGACCUGCUAUGCAAACAGAAUGCUACUGAGGACACUAAUCGCAGCUGAAAUAUACAGGCAGUUUUGUACUAUGAUGAGUUCUUCAGAGUUAUUUCUCUCUGACACAACAGGUUUCCUCCAAUCAGGGGAAUUACCUCUUUUUUCUCCCACAUGUGAGCGAUAGUUACAAUGAAGAGUCCAUAGGCCAAGAUAAGAAUUCAUUCAGAGGAGUCUUAUACUGAAUAAAAUAAACUACUUUGAACUAAACUAAAUGGAUAUCCUUUUCUAAUAGUAUCUGUUAGAAGCCAGAACUAUGGUUACUUGCCUGAGAAAACUGAACAGUAUAAUGCAUGACAAAUCCAAACUGUGAAGAUUCAGGGUAACAAAAGCAACACCUCCUAUUUCUAAACAAUUCAUACUGGAAACGAAGUCUCAAUUCUCCUAUCUGCUUCAUUUCCUAUUCUAAAUUUUGAUCACACCAUUUUCCUGCCUGAUUCCCUGCCUGGAAGUUGCAUUAUUAGAAUUUUCUAACUUGGCAGAAUUACUUCUUCCUGUAUUUUCUCUUUGCAUGUUCAUCAAAGAAGGUGCAUCGUCUUAAAUACAGGUAGGACAUCGCUCAUAGGCUUCUCCACAGCUUACAUUUUCUCCUUUGAAGCUCAUCAAACCUUUACUCCUAAACUCCAUGUUUUUCUUCUGCUUUCUAUAAACCCUAGUUUGUAUCUUAACUCUGUGUUUAUCUGUAUUUUCUCCAUUUUGCCCUUUAUAUCUCAUAUUUUGCUCCAUCAGAUCUCAUUACAUGCUUUACCUAUCAUCUCUAACAAAUAGGACAAAGUGACAAUGGGAGUCCACGAGCACACAAUGAUCUCUGAUACAAGCACAUUAAUAAGACAUAGCCCGAUUGCCUCAGGGCACUAUACUGUGCUACUGCUGCUCCCCUUCAACUCCCAGUCUAUAUUUUCAUGGCAUGCAUAGUGAGAAAUACCCACAUCCCUUUCUUUGCUCUCCUUGAAUCUACAGAAGAGACUAACAUUGCAGCCCUCAUUCUAAAAGGGCACAGAAAAGUUUUUGCCUAUUGGGCUGAAUAAUGCCCUGUCAACAGGGUGAAGGUUGGUGCAAACAUUCACCUUGUUCAGAUUCCAAGAACUUUGUUUUCCAUCAGGUCUUUACAGACUAAAAGAAGGAAACUUCAGAGUGAGCCAAAUAGGAAGCAGAAUCAGCCACUCCCCUGUCAGAAAAGUGAUAUGUAUACAUAUACUUCCCUCAGUCUAAUGGAGAGUUAUCCACUUGUGAUAAAAUACAGCAUAGUCCCCUAACUACCAGUUAAAGGACUAUUCCCAGAAUUCAUGUAGAAAAAAAAUCUUAAUUUACUCACUAGCCAUGCAAAAUAGUGACUUAAUGAACUGAAGAGACAGAGUACCUCUGAUUCUAUGUGUGAUUGUUAAAGCCAAUCUCUAAACAAAUUUACUUCAUUACUCCCUGUGG
Molecule: long non-coding RNA, 2174 nt
Organism: Gallus gallus (chicken)
Lineage: Eukaryota; Metazoa; Chordata; Aves; Galliformes; Phasianidae
Source: Ensembl